RNAcentral lists this non-coding RNA (221 nucleotides) under Ectopseudomonas oleovorans. Its description in RNAcentral is "Pseudomonas pseudoalcaligenes Manganese sequence". The stretch from base 1 to 108 matches the Rfam family "Manganese Mn2+ riboswitch aptamer (yybP-ykoY)". The record is from RNAcentral. Lineage: Bacteria; Pseudomonadati; Pseudomonadota; Gammaproteobacteria; Pseudomonadales; Pseudomonadaceae.
CGCCCCGUCCUAGGGGAGUAGUCUCCCGCGAGCCACCCGCUCGCCCGGCGUGCGUCAACACACUUGGUCCGCAGACCAUGGCGCAUGCGACCGACCCUUCAAGGGUUCCGUAGGAAAAGUCGCCCAGGCAGCUUUUUACACGGAACGCGGUUUGACAAGACCUAUGACACACACAACCUGACCCGGGGCGGGCGGAUUGCGUGUGUCAUGGUGAUUAGUCG